This is a non-coding RNA of Drosophila melanogaster (fruit fly), 100 nucleotides long. The record is from Ensembl. NCBI's taxonomy places the organism in Eukaryota, Metazoa, Arthropoda, Insecta, Diptera, Drosophilidae.
AAAGCGACCCACCCAUUCCCCUUCCGCCCAUAUUUAUCCUUCGUCUACUGUUUCAUCGCAGGAUUUAAGUGGGCGGAGCACGGAAUUCGGGGGCGUGGCG